UAAAAGGUAAGCUAAUUAAAGCUCCUGGGCUCAUACCCCAUAUAUGAAGGUAAACCCCUUCUCUUUUAA
This 69-nucleotide transfer RNA is filed under the name Yunnantettix bannaensis. RNAcentral's name for it is "tRNA-Met". It matches the Rfam family "tRNA". From Rfam's summary of the family: Transfer RNA (tRNA) molecules are approximately 80 nucleotides in length. Their secondary structure includes four short double-helical elements and three loops (D, anti-codon, and T loops). The record is from RNAcentral. Lineage: Eukaryota; Metazoa; Arthropoda; Insecta; Orthoptera; Tetrigidae.